This 355-nucleotide ribosomal RNA is filed under the name Microplitis pallidipes. Its description in RNAcentral is "SSU rRNA". It matches the Rfam family "Eukaryotic small subunit ribosomal RNA", at positions 181 to 525 of the family's 1831-position model. Lineage: Eukaryota; Metazoa; Arthropoda; Insecta; Hymenoptera; Braconidae. The record is from RNAcentral.
UUCCGACCAGAGAUGGAAGGAACGCUUUUAUUAGAUCAAAACCAAUCGGUGGCUUGUCCAUCGUUACUUUUGGUGACUCUGAAUAACUUUCUGCUGAUCGUAUGGUCUAGUACCGACGACGAAUCUUUCAAAUGUCUGCCUUAUCAACUGUCGAUGGUAGGUUCUGCGCCUACCAUGGUUGUAACGGGUAACGGGGAAUCAGGGUUCGAUUCCGGAGAGGGAGCCUGAGAAACGGCUACCACAUCCAAGGAAGGCAGCAGGCGCGCAAAUUACCCACUCCCGGCACGGGGAGGUAGUGACGAAAAAUAACGAUACGGGACUCAUCCGAGGCCCCGUAAUCGGAAUGAAUACACUU